CAGGGUGUAGCUCAGCUUGGUUAGAGCACCAGACUGGGGGUCUGGGGGUCGGAGGUUCAAAUCCUCUCACCCUGA
Molecule: transfer RNA, 75 nt
Filed under: Phycisphaerae bacterium
Lineage: Bacteria; Pseudomonadati; Planctomycetota; Phycisphaerae
Also listed under: 1 other name
Description: tRNA-Pro
Rfam family: tRNA
About the family: Transfer RNA (tRNA) molecules are approximately 80 nucleotides in length.
Source: RNAcentral